RNAcentral lists this ribosomal RNA (467 nucleotides) under uncultured bacterium. RNAcentral's name for it is "partial 16S ribosomal RNA". It matches the Rfam family "Bacterial small subunit ribosomal RNA", at positions 28 to 506 of the family's 1533-position model. The record is from RNAcentral.
GACGAACGCUGGCGGCGUGCUUAACACAUGCAAGUCGAACGGAAAGGCCCUGCUUUUGUGGGGUGCUCGAGUGGCGAACGGGUGAGUAACACGUGAGUAACCUGCCCUUGACUUUGGGAUAACUUCAGGAAACUGGGGCUAAUACCGGAUAGGAGCUCCUGCUGCAUGGUGGGGGUUGGAAAGUUUCGGCGGUUGGGGAUGGACUCGCGGCUUAUCAGCUUGUUGGUGGGGUAGUGGCUUACCAAGGCUUUGACGGGUAGCCGGCCUGAGAGGGUGACCGGCCACAGUGGGAUAGGGAUGCCACCCGGACCACUACGGGGGGCAGCGGUGGGGAAAUUGGCAAAAGGGGCGGAAGGUGUACACAGAAUCGCCGGGUGGGGAAGCACGGCUUUCGGGGUGGAACCCCCUUUCGCCUGUAACGAAGCGUGGGGGAGGGAAAUGGGUAAAAAAGCCCGGGCUAAUUACGU